RNAcentral lists this ribosomal RNA (454 nucleotides) under uncultured bacterium. RNAcentral describes it as "partial 16S ribosomal RNA". It matches the Rfam family "Bacterial small subunit ribosomal RNA", at positions 28 to 507 of the family's 1533-position model. The record is from RNAcentral.
GAUGAACGCUGACAGAAUGCUUAACACAUGCAAGUCCACUUGAACUUCGGUUUGGGUGGCGGACGGGUGAGUAACGCGUAAAGAACUUGCCUCACAGUUAGGGACAACAUUUGGAAACGAAUGCUAAUACCUGAUAUUAUGAUUUUAGGGCAUCCUAGAAUUAUGAAAGCUAUAUGCGCUGUGAGAGAGCUUUGCGUCCCAUUAGCUAGUUGGAGAGGUAACGGCUCACCAAGGCGAUGAUGGGUAGCCGGCCUGAGAGGGUGAACGGCCACAAGGGGACUGAGACACGGCCCUUACUCCUACGGGAGGCAGCAGUGGGGAAUAUUGGACAAUGGACCAAGAGUCUGAUCCAGCAAUUCUGUGUGCACGAUGAAGUUUUUCGGAAUGUAAAGUGCUUUCAGUUGGGAAGAAAAAAAUGACGGUACCAACAGAAGAAGUGACGGCUAAAUACGUG